This 1214-nucleotide ribosomal RNA is filed under the name metagenome. RNAcentral describes it as "bacterial SSU rRNA". It matches the Rfam family "Bacterial small subunit ribosomal RNA", at positions 296 to 1498 of the family's 1533-position model. The record is from RNAcentral.
GAGGGUGUCCGGCCACACUGGGACUGAGAUACGGCCCAGAUUCCUACGGGAGGCAGCAGUCGAGAAGCUUCCGCAAUGGGGGAAACCCUGACGGAGCGACGCCGCGUGAGCGAAGAAGGUCCUAUGGAUUGUAAAGCUCUGUCAGAUUGGGAAGAAAAUUCCGCGGUUAAUACCCGUGGGACUUGACGGUACCAUCAGAGGAAGCACCGGCUAACUCCGUGCCAGCAGCCGCGGUAAUACGGAGGGUGCAAGCGUUGUUCGGAUUCACUGGGUAUAAAGGGUGCGCAGGCGGCCUGGUAAGUCAGGGGUGAAAUAUGACGGCUCAACCGUCAAACUGCCCCUGAAACUGUCAGGCUUGAGUCCGGGAGAGGUUGGUGGAAUUCCAGGUGUAGCGGUGAAAUGCGUAAAUAUCUGGAGGAACACCGGUGGCGAAGGCGGCCAACUGGCCCGGUACUGACGCUCAGGCACGAAAGCUAGGGGAGCGAACGGGAUUAGAUACCCCGGUAGUCCUAGCCGUAAACGAUGGGCACUAGGUGUUGGAGGAGUCUACCCCUUCAGUGCCGCAGCUAAUGCAUUAAGUGCCCCACCUGGGGAGUACGAUCGCAAGGUUGAAACUCAAAGGAAUUGACGGGGGCCCGCACAAGCGGUGGAGCAUGUGGUUUAAUUCGACGCAACGCGAAGAACCUUACCUGGGCUUGACAUGCAGGGGACAGGUGUAGAAAUACAUCCUUCUUCGGACUCCUGUACAGGUGCUGCAUGGCUGUCGUCAGCUCGUGUCGUGAAAUGUUAGGUUAAGUCCUGCAACGAGCGCAACCCCUGUCUUUAGUUGCCAUCAGGUUAUGCUGGGGACUCUAGAGAGACUGCCGGUGACAAACCGGAGGAAGGUGGGGACGACGUCAAGUCAUCAUGGCCCUUACGCCCAGGGCUACACACGUGCUACAAUGGUCGGUACAGUGGGCUGCAAUACAGUGAUGUGGAGCGAAUCCCAAAAAGCCGGCCUCAGUUCGGAUCGUAGUCUGCAACUCGACUACGUGAAGUUGGAAUCGCUAGUAAUCGCGUAUCAGAACGACGCGGUGAAUACGUUCCCGGGCCUUGUACACACCGCCCGUCAAGUCAACCGAGUUGGUUGCACCCCAAGUCGCUGAGCUAACCUCUUCGGAGGAGGCAAGUGCCCAAGGUGUGAUUAGCGAGGGGGACUAAGUCGGAACAAGGUA